GUUUAUAAUGUCAGACAGACUGCCAGAUCCUGACAAUGACCCGAAGAUUACAGGCACCUCAGUUCCUGCACCUGGACCAAUGAGCAGAUGCUCAGAUAUGAAACCUGCCGCCUGCCAGAACCUGGCCGAGACUGUGGACAAAGCUGCUGGACGCUGGAAAAUUGAUUGUACCCCUUUGCCUAGACAAAACAAGGUCAGUCUUUUCCAUGUCCCUCUUCCACAGAGAGAAAAUAAAACCUCUCACAGAUAGGCCUGGCGAAGAUUGUUGUUCUUUGAGACAGCUGCCUCCAACGGUUUCUGCUUCUGACAGACAUCUGAGUACCAGUUGCUGACUUCAGACUGUUCUAAGUAGACUGCGAACCCUAGACUUGCUAUGGAUGUGAACUAGUCUGCUGAUAUGGACACCCCCUAUCUCUGCAACAGUGUCUGCUAACCAGAAGCCCCUGAUGGAUUCCCCGUUGCCUAAAUUCCUUUUUGCUUUUGACUAGCAUUUCAACCUUCUGGGGUCCCUAACUUCGUCCCAAAGUCAGCAGGAAGCAGUUUGGAAAAGAAUUUCGCCGUCCAUUCUCCCUGGUUGAAAUGCUAAGUCAAAGGGA
This 596-nucleotide long non-coding RNA is filed under the name Cricetulus griseus (Chinese hamster). RNAcentral describes it as "lncRNA (ENSCGRG00015023591.2)". Lineage: Eukaryota; Metazoa; Chordata; Mammalia; Rodentia; Cricetidae. The record is from RNAcentral.